Molecule: ribosomal RNA, 258 nt
Filed under: uncultured bacterium
Lineage: Bacteria
Description: partial 16S ribosomal RNA
Rfam family: Bacterial small subunit ribosomal RNA
Source: RNAcentral
GACGGAGGAUGCAAGUGUUAGUCCGGAAUCACUGGGCGUAAAGCGUCUGUAGGUGGUCAAAUAAGUCAACUGUUAAAUCUUGAGGGCUCAACCGUCAAAAUCGCAGUCGAAACUAUUAGACUAGAGUAUAGUAGGGGUAAAGGGAAUUUCCAGUGGAGCGGUGAAAUGCGUAGAGAUUGGAAAGAACACCGAUGGCGAAGGCAACUUUACGUGGGCUAUUACUAACACUCAGAGACGAAAGCUAGGGUAGCAAAUGGG